RNAcentral lists this ribosomal RNA (253 nucleotides) under uncultured bacterium. RNAcentral's name for it is "partial 16S ribosomal RNA". It matches the Rfam family "Bacterial small subunit ribosomal RNA", at positions 524 to 776 of the family's 1533-position model. The record is from RNAcentral.
GACGAGGGGUCCAAGCGUUGCUCGGAAUCAUUGGGCGUAAAGCGGAUGUAGGUGGCUCUAUAAGUCAGGAGUGAAAGCCCCGGGCUCAACCCGGGAAGUGCUUUUGAAACUGUAGAGCUUGAGUGUAGGAGAGGGCAGUAGAAUUCCUGGUGUAGUGGUGAAAUACGUAGAUAUCAGGAGGAAUACCGGAGGGGAAGCCGGCUGCCUGGCCUAACACUGACACUCAGAUCCGAAAGCGUGGGGAUCAAACAGG